CUCCAGGGACGCCCUUGCCUCCUGGUUUGCCCCUGUGUCCUGGGACAUCCCUGCCUCCUGGGCCGCCUUCGCUUCCUGGGACAUUUCUACCUACAGCGACGCCCCUGCCUCCAGACGUCUUUUUGCCCUUCUUGCACACCAGACAACUUAACCCUGUUUUGGCUUUGUUCUUUCUGCAAAGAAGAAUGGACUGCAUUAGCUCUUGGCUGAAUGCCCCAGUGUCUCGACCCAUAAGUUGGGAAGGGGACACAGUUCUUUUGAACAUUUCGCUUCGUCUGGCUCACACCUUGGCCACAUUCCAGGGGAGACUUCCAGAAGGUCUUUCUGUGUGCCUGCAGAGAUUGGCACCAAGUAGCCUCUGCCCCUCUUUGCUGUCCAGUCUCCACCACACCCCGUGGGCAGUAGGUGGACAGAGAUGACAUUUCAGGUGGAGGAGUGGGGUCUGUCGUGUGCAUUCUGAGUGCCAGGAAAAUGGUUCAAUCCAGUAACGAGCAGCUGCUGCCCUCCAGGGCCUGGGAAGUGCCGGUGCAAAACCCAGAGGGCCAAAUGCUGUUGCUGCCCUGUAGGCAGUGCCUGUCUCUUGGCUCGCCUUCUCUCUGCUGCUGUUGAAUCUGACCAGUAGUGCCUAUUGUGAUCUCUUUUUAUGUUCUCUUUUUGUUAAAUUCCUGAAAAGGAUGAAGGUGCAAUUUUGUUUCUAUCAGGAAUAUUUGGUACUGAUAAACAUUUCAGGGACAGCAUCUAGUGAUGUGUACAGCUUUGUCUUUAGGGUGAUUGGCAUUUGUGUGCAAU
Pogoniulus pusillus (Red-fronted tinkerbird) is the source of this 789-nucleotide long non-coding RNA. RefSeq lists it as uncharacterized. The record is from RefSeq and is a predicted model, not a curated record. The transcript has 3 exons. Lineage: Eukaryota; Metazoa; Chordata; Aves; Piciformes; Lybiidae.